GUGAACGACUGAACAUAUUUCAAAAAAUUGAAACAUUACAGAGAAGUUUAGCAGGGCACCUGCGUAUUAGGCCCGCAAAGCUAAGAUGUAUUGUGGUUCGAU
RNAcentral lists this small nuclear RNA (102 nucleotides) under Rhodnius prolixus. Lineage: Eukaryota; Metazoa; Arthropoda; Insecta; Hemiptera; Reduviidae. The record is from RNAcentral.